RNAcentral lists this long non-coding RNA (454 nucleotides) under Homo sapiens (human). RNAcentral describes it as "HSALNT0396065". Lineage: Eukaryota; Metazoa; Chordata; Mammalia; Primates; Hominidae. The record is from RNAcentral.
CGCCUUCAUCCCGCCUCCAAGGCUGUCGGAGAUGGUUUUUUCUUUAUCCAAGACAAGGUCUUCCUCUGUCGCCCAGGCUGGAGUGCAAUGGGCAAGAUCAUGGCUUACUGCAGCCUCGACCUCCAGAGCUCAAGGGAUUCUCCUGCCUCUGUCUCCUGAGUAGCUGGUCUACAGAGACUGGGUCUCGCUCUGUCGCUCAGGAUGGUGUCGAACUCCUGGGUUCCAGCAAUUCUCUCACCUCAGCCUCUGAAAGUGCUGGGAUUACAGGGGUGAGCCACUGUACCCGGUCCCACCGUGCCCUUUUGCAGUCAACCUCUCCUGUCCCAAUAUUUCACCGUCCCUAUAGUUUUUUUUCUCCUAGAACAUUAUAGAAAUAGAGUCAUACAAUAUGCAACCUUUGCGUUGAACUUCUUUCCCUCAUCCUAAUACAUUUGAGAGUUCUCCAUGUGGCUAG